RNAcentral lists this ribosomal RNA (301 nucleotides) under uncultured bacterium. RNAcentral describes it as "partial 16S ribosomal RNA". It matches the Rfam family "Bacterial small subunit ribosomal RNA", at positions 509 to 809 of the family's 1533-position model. The record is from RNAcentral.
CAGCAGCCACGGGAAUACGAAGGGUGCAAGCGUUAAUCGGAAUUACUGGGCGUAAAGCGUGCGUAGGCGGUUUGUUAAGUCUGCUGUGAAAUCCCCGGGCUCAACCUGGGAAUGGCAGUGGAUACUGGCAAGCUAGAGUGUGUCAGAGGAUGGUGGAAUUCCCGGUGUAGCGGUGAAAUGCGUAGAGAUCGGGAGGAACAUCAGUGGCGAAGGCGGCCAUCUGGGACAACACUGACGCUGAGGCACGAAAGCGUGGGGAGCAAACAGGAUUAGAUACCCCGGUAGUCCCUGUCUCUUAUAU